GCCCCUGGCCUCCCGCGAGCUGCGCACCGCCGGCCGCUGCCCCAGCUGCCCGAGUCCGCGCCCUCGUCCGCGCGACCCGGCGGCGGGCUCCAGGCCGGCAGCAUGAGCGGCGGCGGCGACGUGGUAUGCACCGGCUGGCUGAGGAAAUCGCCUCCCGAGAAGAAGUUGAGGCGCUAUAUUCACUCCUAAUCCCUCAUCUCCCUCCUCAAAAAGAAGUCUCCCUGAAUUAUCACCUCUCUGAUGGAUUUUCGCUGGCCUGGAAGAAACGCUGGUUUAUCCUGCGGAGUGGCCGGAUGAGCGGUGACCCAGAUGUUCUGGAAUACUACAAGAACGAUCACUCCAAGAAGCCUCUGCGGAUCAUCAACCUGAACUUCUGUGAGCAGGUAGAUGCAGGCCUGACCUUUAACAAGAAGGAGCUGCAGGAUAGUUUUGUGUUUGACAUCAAGACCAGCGAACGCACCUUUUACCUGGUGGCUGAGACAGAAGAGGACAUGAAUAAGUGGGUCCAGAGCAUCUGCCAGAUCUGUGGCUUCAAUCAGGCUGAGGAGAGCACAGGAGUGCCAGCUUCUCUCAGGGCACCAGAGCCUCUUUUCUCAUGAGGAGUGACACAGCUGUACAAAAACUUGCCCAGGGCAAUGGACACUGUGUCA
This 650-nucleotide small RNA is filed under the name Pongo abelii (Sumatran orangutan). RNAcentral's name for it is "processed transcript". Lineage: Eukaryota; Metazoa; Chordata; Mammalia; Primates; Hominidae. The record is from RNAcentral.